Molecule: ribosomal RNA, 253 nt
Filed under: uncultured bacterium
Lineage: Bacteria
Description: partial 16S ribosomal RNA
Rfam family: Bacterial small subunit ribosomal RNA
Source: RNAcentral
UACGAAGGGUGCAAGCGUUGCUCGGAAUUACUGGGCGUAAAGCGUGCGUAGGUGGUGAGUUAAGUCUGUCGUGAAAGCCCCGGGCUCAACCUGGGAAUGGCGAUGGAUACUGGCUCGCUAGAGUGCGGUAGAGGAGAGUGGAAUUCCCGGUGUAGCAGUGAAAUGCGUAGAGAUCGGGAGGAACAUCAGUUGCGAAGGCGGCUCUCUGGACCAGCACUGACACUGAGGCACGAAAGCGUGGGGAGCAAACAGG